CGCGUGUAGGGCCGGUGUAAGGCUCUUUUGAACCUUUCAAAGCCCCUGUGUGUCUCUUUCUCUUAGCUCCUUGUCUCUUUCUCCUCUGUCUGUAUGUCUCUUCCCCCGUCUGUGUGUCUCUUUCCCCCAUUCCCCAGUCCUUUUUGUGUGUCUCUUCAAUCCCCCCUGUCCUUUUGUGGUCUCUCCACUUCUGUGCCAGCUUACCUCUAUUUGUAGUGUGGAUCGUGG
This is a non-coding RNA of Pelobates cultripes (western spadefoot toad), 228 nucleotides long. NCBI's taxonomy places the organism in Eukaryota, Metazoa, Chordata, Amphibia, Anura, Pelobatidae. The record is from the annotation of a GenBank genome assembly.